CGUGUAGGCGGUCUUUUAAGUCUGAUGUGAAAGCCCCGGGCUCAACCUGGGAAGUGCAUUGGAAACUGGGAGACUUGAGUACGGGAGAGGAGAGUGGAAUUCCUAGUGUAGGAGUGAAAUCCGUAGAUAUUAGGAGGAACACCGGUGGCGAAGGCGGCUCUCUGGACCGAUACUGACGCUGAGGUGCGAAAGCGUGGGGAGCAAACA
This 207-nucleotide ribosomal RNA is filed under the name uncultured bacterium. RNAcentral describes it as "partial 16S ribosomal RNA". It matches the Rfam family "Bacterial small subunit ribosomal RNA", at positions 568 to 774 of the family's 1533-position model. The record is from RNAcentral.